ACGAACGCUGGCGGCGCGCUUAACACAUGCAAGUCGAGCGAGAACCGGUCCUUCGGGACCGGGGAAAGCGGCGAACGGGUGAGUAACACGUGGGUAAUCAACCCUCGACACUGGGAUAGCCCGGGGAAACCCGGAUUAAUACCGGAUGGCCCAGCAGCUCUUCGGGGCGGUUGGAAAAGGUAGCUUCGGCCUCCGGUCGAGGACGAGCCCGCGGCGGAUUAGCUUGUUGGUGGGGUAAUGGCCUACCAAGGCGACGAUCCGUAGCUGGUCUGAGAGGACGAUCAGCCACACUGGGACUGAGACACGGCCCAGACUCCUACGGGAGGCAGCAGUGGGGAAUCUUGCGCAAUGGGCGAAAGCCUGACGCAGCGACGCCGCGUGAGGGAAGAAGGCUUUCGGGUUGUAAACCUCUUUCAGGUGGGACGAAGCCACUCGGGUGAAUAGCCCAGAGGGUGACGGUACCUCCAGAAGAAGCCCCGGCUAACUACGUGCCAGCCGCCGCCGUAACAC
RNAcentral lists this ribosomal RNA (510 nucleotides) under uncultured bacterium. RNAcentral's name for it is "bacterial SSU rRNA". It matches the Rfam family "Bacterial small subunit ribosomal RNA", at positions 29 to 526 of the family's 1533-position model. The record is from RNAcentral.